Molecule: long non-coding RNA, 595 nt
Filed under: Macaca mulatta (Rhesus monkey)
Lineage: Eukaryota; Metazoa; Chordata; Mammalia; Primates; Cercopithecidae
Description: lncRNA (ENSMMUG00000053572.1)
Source: RNAcentral
UGUCACCUCCCAAGUCUCUAGAGCAGUCUAUGCCACUGUCAUAUCUUUUUUCUUGAACCAUGACAUUCUGAAAAAGUGAUUGUAACUCUUUUUUCUAUUAUUUCACAAAGGUUGUACUGUCAAGCACUCUCCAGGAUGUAUAUUUUUAAGAUUUGGCUUCCUCCCUAGAAUUUUGAACUCUUCAGAUGCAAUGGUAAUGGGCUUGAAAGUCAUCUAUGAACUGGAGUUUCUAUUAAUGUGACUAACAGAUUUGGCAGGGUAGCUUCUUGGUGCUUGAAGUGCUGAUAAAUGCUGAUUUUUAGUGGUUUUUCAAUUGAAGAUGUGCUGAUGACAACAUCCGAAACAUAACUUUGUUCUCCUAAGAGGAAAGAGGAAAAUAUCUGUGAGAAGUGAAAGAAGUAUUAUUGGAGUCACAGACCCUUCACAACACCCAGGAAAGCACACUGUUAGAAUUGCAUUUACUUCACCUCCUGGUGUGUCACAUACAAUGUCAAGAAGAUAUUUUUAUGAAGUAAGUCCUAUCAUUUUCACCAUAUUACUAAAGUUUUCCUGAACUGCUCAAUGGGAAUGUUUUAAAUCUCACGUAGACUUUCUA